UAAGGGCGCACGGUGGAUGCCUUGGCACUAGAAGCCGAUGAAGGACGUUACUAACGACGAUAUGCUUUGGGGAGCUGUAAGUAAGCUUUGAUCCAGAGAUUUCCGAAUGGGGAAACCCAGCAUGAGUUAUGUCAUGUUAUCGAUAUGUGAAUACAUAGCAUAUCAGAAGGCACACCCGGAGAACUGAAACAUCUUAGUACCCGGAGGAAGAGAAAGAAAAUUCGAUUCCCUUAGUAGCGGCGAGCGAAACGGGAAGAGCCCAAACCAACAAGCUUGCUUGUUGGGGUUGUAGGACACUCUAUACGGAGUUACAAAGGACGACAUUAGACGAAUCAUCUGGAAAGAUGAAUCAAAGAAGGUAAUAAUCCUGUAGUCGAAAAUGUUGUCUCUCUUGAGUGGAUCCUGAGUACGACGGAGCACGUGAAAUUCCGUCGGAAUCUGGGAGGACCAUCUCCUAAGGCUAAAUACUCUCUAGUGACCGAUAGUGAACCAGUACCGUGAGGGAAAGGUGAAAAGCACCCCGGAAGGGGAGUGAAAUAGAACCUGAAACCGUGUGCUUACAAGUAGUCAGAGCCCGUUAAUGGGUGAUGGCGUGCCUUUUGUAGAAUGAACCGGCGAGUUACGAUUUGAUGCAAGGUUAAGCAGUAAAUGUGGAGCCGUAGCGAAAGCGAGUCUGAAUAGGGCGUUUAGUAUUUGGUCGUAGACCCGAAACCAGGUGAUCUACCCUUGGUCAGGUUGAAGUUCAGGUAACACUGAAUGGAGGACCGAACCGACUUACGUUGAAAAGUGAGCGGAUGAACUGAGGGUAGCGGAGAAAUUCCAAUCGAACCUGGAGAUAGCUGGUUCUCUCCGAAAUAGCUUUAGGGCUAGCCUCAAGUGAUGAUUAUUGGAGGUAGAGCACUGUUUGGACGAGGGGCCCCUCUCGGGUUACCGAAUUCAGACAAACUCCGAAUGCCAAUUAAUUUAACUUGGGAGUCAGAACAUGGGUGAUAAGGUCCGUGUUCGAAAGGGAAACAGCCCAGACCACCAGCUAAGGUCCCAAAAUAUAUGUUAAGUGGAAAAGGAUGUGGCGUUGCCCAGACAACUAGGA
Molecule: ribosomal RNA, 1090 nt
Filed under: Staphylococcus aureus
Lineage: Bacteria; Bacillati; Bacillota; Bacilli; Caryophanales; Staphylococcaceae
Description: partial 23S ribosomal RNA
Rfam family: Bacterial large subunit ribosomal RNA
Source: RNAcentral